RNAcentral lists this non-coding RNA (20 nucleotides) under Rattus norvegicus (Norway rat). The record is from RNAcentral. Lineage: Eukaryota; Metazoa; Chordata; Mammalia; Rodentia; Muridae.
GAAUUCACUGGAUACGGUCC